Molecule: ribosomal RNA, 448 nt
Filed under: uncultured bacterium
Lineage: Bacteria
Description: partial 16S ribosomal RNA
Rfam family: Bacterial small subunit ribosomal RNA
Source: RNAcentral
UCCAGACUCCUACGGGAGGCAGCAGUGGGGGAUAUUGCACAAUGGGGGGAACCCUGAUGCAGCGACGCCGCGUGGGUGAAGGAGCGUUUCGGCGCGUAAAGCCCGCUCGGCAGGGAAGAAGGAGGACGGUACCUGACUAAGAAGCCCCGGCUAACUACGUGCCAGCAGCCGCGGCAAUACGUAGGGGGCAAGCGUUAUCCGGAUUUUCUGGGUGUAAAGGGAGCGUAGACGGAAAGGCAAGUCAGAAGUGAAAACCCGAGGCUCAACCAUGGGACUGCUUUUGAACCUGUCAACCUAGAGUACGGGAGAGGUAAGAGGAAUUCCUAGUGUAGCGGUGAAAUGCGUAGAUAUUAGGAGGAGCCCCAGUGGCGAAGGCGGCCUGCUGGACUGCGACUGACGUUGAGGCCCGAAAGCGUGGGGAGCAAACAGGAUUAGAUACCCUAGUAUC